This 406-nucleotide ribosomal RNA is filed under the name uncultured bacterium. RNAcentral's name for it is "partial 16S ribosomal RNA". It matches the Rfam family "Bacterial small subunit ribosomal RNA", at positions 29 to 525 of the family's 1533-position model. The record is from RNAcentral.
AUUGAACGCUGGCGGCAGGCUUAACACAUGCAAGUCGAGCGAGCGGCGGACGGGUGAGUAAUGUCUGGGAAACUGCCUGAUGGAGGGGGAUAACUACUGGAAACGGUAGCUAAUACCGCAUACCAUCAGAUGUGCCCAGAUGGGAUUAGCUAGUAGGUGGGGUAAAGGCUCACCUAGGCGACGAUCCCUAGCUGGUCUGAGGGGAUGACCAGCCACACAGGAACGGUGACACGGUCCAGGCUCCUACGGGAGGCAGGAGUGGGGAAUAUUGCACAAUGGGCGCAAGGCUUAUGCAGGCAUGCCGCGUGUGGGAAGAAGGCCUUCGGGUUGUAAAGCACUUUCAGCGAGGAGGCGUGACUCGCAGAAGAAGCACCGGCUAAAUCCGUGCCAGGAGGCGCGGUAAUUA